AAAUGUAAAAUAUACAUAUAUUUUACCAUACCGAACUCUAUUUAUAUCGAAAUAUUCAGUAUAAGAAUUUGCAUUGGAGACUUCAAAAUAUUAUGAUGGCUAACCUACUUUUUUUUUUAUUUCGAUACUUUGAAUCCAUUGACACACGAAUGGAAAAUAAGAGUCAAGAUUCUGAGAAAAUUUACGUGUACUACUCCUCCUUACAACUCGAGAAAAUUUACGUGUACUACUCCUCCUUACAACUCACUCGAUCUGUUUUUAGUAGAUGGAAAGAUAUUUUCACGAAUUAGAGUAUUGA
This 298-nucleotide long non-coding RNA is filed under the name Capsella rubella. Its description in RNAcentral is "long non-coding RNA (CRUB_LNC004993)". The record is from RNAcentral. Lineage: Eukaryota; Viridiplantae; Streptophyta; Magnoliopsida; Brassicales; Brassicaceae.